RNAcentral lists this ribosomal RNA (498 nucleotides) under uncultured bacterium. RNAcentral's name for it is "partial 16S ribosomal RNA". It matches the Rfam family "Bacterial small subunit ribosomal RNA", at positions 30 to 523 of the family's 1533-position model. The record is from RNAcentral.
AUUGAACGCUGGCGGCAUGCCUUACACAUGCAAGUCGAACGGUAACAGGUCUUCGGAUGCUGACGAGUGGCGAACGGGUGAGUAAUACAUCGGAACGUGCCUAGUAGUGGGGGAUAACUACUCGAAAGAGUGGCUAAUACCGCAUGAGAUCUACGGAUGAAAGCAGGGGAUCGCAAGACCUUGUGCUACUAGAGCGGCCGAUAUCGGAUUAGGUAGUUGGUGGGGUAAAGGCUCACCAAGCCAACGAUCUGUAGCUGGUCUGAGAGGACGACCAGCCACACUGGGACUGAGACACGGCCCAGACUCCUACGGGAGGCAGCAGUGGGGAAUUUUGGACAAUGGACGCAAGUCUGAUCCAGCCAUGCCGCGUGCGGGAAGAAGGCCUUCGGGUUGUAAACCGCUUUUGUCAGGGAAGAAACGCUCUGGGUUAAUACCUCGGGGUAAUGACGGUACCUGAAGAAUAAGCACCGGCUAACUACGUGCCAGCAGCCGCCGUAA